This 512-nucleotide ribosomal RNA is filed under the name uncultured eubacterium WR1119. RNAcentral's name for it is "bacterial SSU rRNA". It matches the Rfam family "Bacterial small subunit ribosomal RNA", at positions 9 to 527 of the family's 1533-position model. The record is from RNAcentral.
GAGUUUGAUCAUGGCUCAGAUUGAACGCUGGCGGCAUGCCUAACACAUGCAAGUCGAACGAGGAUAGCAAUACCUUAGUGGCGGACGGGUGAGGAAUACGUAGGAAUUUGCCCUUAAGUGGGGGAUAGCCCGGGGAAACCCGGAUUAAUACCGCAUGAUCUCGAAAGAGCAAAGUGGGGGAUCGCAAGACCUCACGCUUUUGGAGAAGCCUACGUCGGAUUAGCUAGUUGGUGAGGUAAUGGCUCACCAAGGCUACGAUCCGUAACUGGUCUGAGAGGAUGAUCAGUCACACCGGAACUGAGACACGGUCCGGACUCCUACGGGAGGCAGCAGUGGGGAAUAUUGGACAAUGGGCGCAAGCCUGAUCCAGCAAUGCCGCGUGUGUGAAGAAGGCCUUCGGGUUGUAAAGCACUUUAAGUUGGGAAGAAAAAACUCGCUCUAACACAGUGAGUCUUGACGGUACCGACAGAAUAAGCACCGGCUAACUCUGUGCCAGCAGCCGCGGUAAUACG